Long non-coding RNA from Equus asinus (donkey), 2186 nucleotides. Lineage: Eukaryota; Metazoa; Chordata; Mammalia; Perissodactyla; Equidae. The record is from Ensembl.
GCUUAGCACAGAGUUUGGCACUUGUUAUGGGCUGAAUUGUUUCCCCCUAAAACUCAAAUGUUGAAGUCCCAACUCCCAGGACCUCAAAACAGGACUGUGUUUGGAGACAGGGCCUUAAGGACAUAAUUAAUUUUCCCCCCAGCUUUAUUGAGAUAUAAUUGACAUAUAACAUAUUGAGAUAUAAUUUUCAUAUAACAUAUAAUUGACAUAUAAUGUGUACCUUAGUUGUACAUUAAGGUGUAUAAUGUGAUGAUUUGAUACACAUAUAUUGGGAAAUGUGGGUUUUUUUAAAGAUUGGCACCUGAGCUAACAUCUGUUGCAAAUCUCUUUUUUUUCUUCUUCUUCUUCUUCUCCCCAGAGCUCCCCAGGACACAGCUGUAUCUUCUAUUGCAGGUCCUUCCACUUGUGCUGUGUGGGACACUGCCCUAGCAUGGCCUGAUGAGCAGUGCUAGGUCUGCGCCCAGGAUCUGAAGCCGUGAAACCCUGGGCCAGCCUUGUGAAAUGUUUACCACAGUAAGAAGAGGAUAUGAGGACACAGACACGCACAGAGGUACGACCAUGUGAGGACACAGGGAGAAGACGGUGUCUGCACGCCCAGGAGAAAGGCCUCGGGAGGAAUCAGCCCUGCCAACACCCUGACCUCGGACCUCCAGCCUCCAGGACAAGGAGAGAAGGUGGAUGUAAGCCGUCCCGUCCGGGCGCUUUGUUAUGGCGGCCCUCGAAAACUCCUACAACACAGUGGACCCUCCACACCUAUUUCUUAAACUGAAAUUAGAUCGGAAUGAGAGAGCUGACAAGAUUCUCUUUUAAUGUUUUGCAUCUAUUUGCUGUGUCUUAAAAGAUCCUAAGGCAUUCUCAAAUCUGAACACAAAUCUUAAAUAAUUCCCAGACCUGUAAGACUAAAAGACUCCCAGGCAUUCAUCGAUUUCUGGGACAAAACCAACCAAGUGUGUGUUUCGGCACAACUGACUCUAGAACCGCACACCCUUCCAGUCGUUUUCUAACAGCUAGAUCUUAAGUUAACACGAGGGAGGCCAUUUUAGGGAAAGGAAGCAACAUUGUAACUGUACAAGACCCUGACUCACUUGUCUCUGUGGAUACAUUCUAGCCUGCGCGGAGCCUAGAUGAUCAAGCACCUCUCACUUUUACAAAAUAGGUGAUCUCUAGUUCUACGACUCUUGCUUACCUAUAUCUCCCAGCUGUGAUAAGACGACAACUUUGUCCCCUGAGUUCCCCAGGAACGUGACGCCCUCCAGAAAUAAAAUUCUGCGUUGGUACCCGUCACGAAUGACAGAAGGAAGAGAUCCCUAAACCCCUCCUUCCCCGCCCCUCUCCCCUGUGUAACCGCCUCAAGAUGCUGUACGCUUUUAAGAUGGUUGUUUAGGACACUAGUCCAGCAUCUUGCGAUUAUGCUAGCUAAUCCUAUAAACUUUCCUUUCUGAACCACUGGCUUGUUUGCAAUUGAUUGGCACCUGAUUGCAGCGAGCACAACCAGCCCCUAUUUGCUCCGUUACAGUUCGCCUAGAACAGAACAAGCACGAUCGUGCGGGCGACGCGGCAACGAGACCCUGCGGAGCCCCUGGCGGCCUGGCCCCCGGGAGGAGGGCGGGGCGCGCGGGGCAAAGGGCGGCGCUGCCCGCGCGCGGGGCCACCGAGCACGUCCCCGGCCGGGACGAGGCGUCAUGUGUGACGUGGACUCCGUGUGCGACGCGGUGUCGUGACGUGGACGUCACGUGUGACGUGGUGUGUAAGAACGAGGCAUCCAGCCUUCGUCUCGGGAAGCGCAGGGGACAGAGGAGCAGGCUGAACGGCAGCGGCGGGCUGGGGCCGCGUCCGCCUGGUCGGCGGGAGCCCGGGGUGGGACGCGGGACGGCGGCCGGACCGCAGGAACCGGCUGUAAAGAGCACUUCCGGGCCACCGAGGCAGCGCUCAUACGUCACCCUCCACUUCCGGGAGGGCUGGGAAUCCCUCCCAAUUAAAAGUUAGGAAAAAGUGAAUCAUCCUCGAACUUUGGUGACUUAAACGAGGAGAUAUAACCAGUUUCUAUACUUGUUUAGGGACCGAAAAAACCAGGGGAGACACCCCGCGUUCCCCCGCGCCGCCGUGCCGACUUCCUAAUCGACGUCGCCCUCGGCCUUUCCCUCCCCGCCGAGCUCCGCCCCCGUCUUCGCCUCUGGCCAAUCUCG